RNAcentral lists this long non-coding RNA (647 nucleotides) under Chinchilla lanigera (long-tailed chinchilla). Its description in RNAcentral is "lncRNA (ENSCLAG00000023924.1)". Lineage: Eukaryota; Metazoa; Chordata; Mammalia; Rodentia; Chinchillidae. The record is from RNAcentral.
CAGCGACCUGCGGCGUGGCCGGGCCACUCCCUCGGCUGGGCUGGGGCAUCCUGGUGGCACCCACAGGAGCCUGUGGGGCUGGGGACAGGAAUGAGCCGCCCCCUCCCAUGACAGCUGUCCCCUGGCAUCCCUGGCGCGCCUGUACCGGGCAGCUGUGGGCCGGGUGGGGUCCCUGCAGCUCCCAGCUUGCAGCCUGCUGCUCCAGACUUUGGAAGUGGGAGCCAGGAAAGGAGGACCUGGUCUCCUCUGCUGAGAGCUGAAGCUGCCAAUAACCAGACUGUGGCUGGGAGUGGAAGGAGAGGGUGUCUUUGCUGAGUGGAUCACAGAUGUGUACCUUGUUCUCACUCCUGAGCUGGACCUGGACAUCUGGAUUCAGUCUUUCUUGUCCCCUGUUUUGGCAGCAGCACUAAAGCAAUUCCACCAGACCAAAGAUGAGCUGCUGUUCUUCAUAGUGAGUAUGAAGACAAGAGUGGCCAAAGAACGCUGAAGGAAUAAGACCUUAGAUGGCCCUUGGAAAGGCUCCUUUUCCUCUAUGUGUUGUCCUAGGAGCAUCUUUGAGUAAUGAGGAGAACAUAGACUUUUUAUACUACAUCAAUUUUUUCCCAUGCAGCCUUGAGUUAAUUAUUAAACCUCUGAAGUCCCCGAUU